This 2551-nucleotide long non-coding RNA is filed under the name Nicotiana benthamiana. Its description in RNAcentral is "long non-coding RNA (NBEN_LNC040186)". The record is from RNAcentral. Lineage: Eukaryota; Viridiplantae; Streptophyta; Magnoliopsida; Solanales; Solanaceae.
CCUAAAGCAAGAUACGGUGUUCAUAUGUUAUUUGUCUCCUACAUUUGAGAUUAUUGUGAGGCCAUAAGUUAUGGAAGAGAGUUGUUGGGGCAAAGGCUUAGUCGUUUUAUUCUGCCAAAGAACUUUAUGUAUCGAGAAAGGUUUCAGCAUUUAGAUUGAUAUUGGAUAAUCGUGAAUGAAACAUAUAUUGAGAAACUACUUGUUCGAACCAAGCACUUUAACAAAUUGAAAAGAGGCAUAUUAAUUAAACUAUUACUAUCAAAAGAAAUGAAUAUAUUAACUAAUCAUCACCCUAGUGUGUCCAGGCUUAAAGCAUUGGGCUUAAAACCCUAGCCCAGAGACCUGGUGUCCGUACUUGCUUAACCAAAACCCAGCUUGGCCGAUUUGAAAGUCCAAACCACUUCCCGUAAGUGCCCUGAUGGAAUAGGUUCUAAAAAAAUAAUAGUACACAUUUGAAAUCUUCAAAAUUAGGCACAAUGAACUUAAAUCGGAAUAUGUAAAGCUAAAUAAGGGAUUAAAUUUACAAAUAUCGCCAAUUCUAUAGCUACUGUUCACAGUAUGACGAUUUUACAACAAUAGCCAAAUCCCAACCCACACUUUCAUUUCAUUCUUCACAUUCUUUCAAUGAGACCUUGCCUUUAUCACCUAUUGGUUAUAUCAUUUCUUCUUGAGCCGACUUUAAUUCAUAAUCACAAGUAUAAAGGUGUUAUCAUUAAAUCACACAAAACACCCGAGUUAAUUCUAGAACCAUAUGAGCUCAAUGGAUUUUGAUACUUCAUGCUUUAAACAUUACUUGACUCCUAACAUCAGGAAUUGCAUAAGAAAACUAAAGAUCACAUUCAUUAUGAAACUAAAACUAUCAUUUGAAUAGCACGUUAUAGCAACUCAAUCAAAGAUAGACCAGUCUAACAAUUGAAAAACAACACACGAAAUCAGAUGUAAACACAGCCAAAUCAUUCGACUCUUCAUUAGCACAUUCAAAUAGAGUUACAAAUGGAGUUUUACAUACCUAGAAGCAAAAUCAAUAGAUGAAGUUGAAAAAUAAGAAUCAGAGAUGGAAGUGAAGAUCCAACAAGCAAUACAACAACAAGCUCACAAUCAAACAAAACAGUUCCACAGCUUGAAAGCAAUUCAAAAUCCUAGAAAGAGGGUGAUGCAAAAAACUAGUAAAAAUUGAAGAGCCAAAUAACUUUCGUAUUUUUUUUCUAUCUAUUUUUGAAAGGAACCUAAAUUUCAAAGAGAAUUUUUUGUGUCAAAUUCCGUGUGAGAAUGAGAAGAGGAAUUCCUUUUUUAUAGAAUGUGAGCACGUGUACAUGAUAGGGAAUGAGAGAGAGAUUAAAAGGAAUCUGUCAGCCCCUUAAUUUUAGGGGAAAUAGCAUUUUAACAAAAGAAAUGGACAACUGUCUAAUUUCUAAAUAUUUUUUCUCAUUCUCAGCUCUUUUCUUAACAAAUUAGGACAACUUUCCCUUUCUAAAAACUUCUUUAUUCCCAAAAACUUUUAAACUUUUUAAAUUUUAAUUUUUACCCCAAGUUUUGAAUUUAUUUCCCAUUUUAAUGUAUUUUCAACCAAACAAAACAAAUUCCUUUGUUUUUUAAUUUCUUAGACUCCUGAAUUUCAGUAAUUACAAACAACUAUCACAAAAACUCAGAUGAAUUAAAAAUCAUAGCACAACAAGCAAUAUUCAACUUUUAACCUAUUUUAGGUAAUUAAACAAAUUCAACAUGCAAUUAACUAAUUAAAAUCACUUUAAAGGAAUUAAAACCGACUGCUAUGCUUUUAAAAUAUUGGCCUAAUCACAUAAUUGAUGAAUUUAAAAUCUCAACUAAUCUAAAACAUGCUAAACAUACGAAAAGGCAUACUAGCAGUAAACAUAUUGAUCACCCUUAGAAUAACUAUCAAUUGAUUGAUUUUAACAAAAGUUGAAGCAAAUACUAAAACAUGUUGUUAAUUUUGAAAUAAACCUAGUAUCUAACAUGUAACACAAUGUCAACCUAUGCACCUAAAAUAAUCAGUAAUCAAAGAAAUGAAAAGAAGAUUACCCCUUGUCGAAAAGGUUGGCCCAAAAAAAGAUAUCCGGCUAACAACCCGCAAAAGGAGCCGACAUUAUGGAGAUUCGAUAGAUGGCCCCGACAUAAAUUAAAUUAACAUAAAUAGAUUGCUCUUGUCAAAGCAAUAGAUUUGUGUGAGUUUGAAACAAAAUCGACUCGACUUAACGAGAAAAAACAACAAAAGCUUGAUCUAGGAUUUUUGGGAUUCUAUGAUUUGAAAUUCUUGGAGCUUGGGUAGUUUUCUGGGGAAAUUAGUGAGACUGGGGACGAGGGUGGCAUGGAGAUUGUAAGGUGUUAAUUUAGGGGUGUUUGGGGGUUGUGUCGCCGCUGUAGGCGAUUUCCAGCGGCGAUAUAAAGCUGAGGGUGAGAGAGGGAGACGAGAGGGGUAUGGGCUGGGUUUCUAUGGUUUUCGGGAGGGGGGAUCUUAAAGAAAUUUAUGGGAGGGUAGCAUUGAGUUGUGAACCGUUAGAUCUAAGAUAAUCAAUAGUGGGGAUUACGCGUU